GAUGAACGCUGGCGGCGUGCCUAAUACAUGCCAGUCGAGCGAACGGACGAGAAGCUUGCUUUUCUGAUGUUAGCGGCGGACGGGUGAGUAACACGUGGAUAACCUACCUAUAAGACUGGGAUAACUUCGGGAAACCGGAGCUAAUACCGGAUAAUAUUUUGAACCGCAUGGUUCAAAAGUGAAAGACGGUCUUGCUGUCACUUAUAGAUGGAUCCGCGCUGCAUUAGCUAGUUGGUAAGGUAACGGCUUACCAAGGCAACGAUGCAUAGCCGACCUGAGAGGGUGAUCGGCCACACUGGAACUGAGACACGGUCCAGACUCCUACGGGAGGCAGCAGUAGGGAAUCUUCCGCAGUGGGCGAAAGCCUGACGGAGCAACGCCGCGUGAGUGAUGAAGGUCUUCGGAUCGUAAAACUCUGUUAUUAGGGAAGAACAUAUGUGUAAGUAACUGUGCACAUCUUGACGGUACCUAAUCAGAAAGCCACGGCUAACUACGUG
Molecule: ribosomal RNA, 497 nt
Filed under: uncultured bacterium
Lineage: Bacteria
Description: partial 16S ribosomal RNA
Rfam family: Bacterial small subunit ribosomal RNA
Source: RNAcentral